GACGAACGCUGGCGGCGUGCUUAACACAUGCAAGUCGAACGGAAAGGCCCUGCUUUUGUGGGGUGCUCGAGUGGCGAACGGGUGAGUAACACGUGAGUAACCUGCCCUUGACUUUGGGAUAACUUCAGGAAACUGGGGCUAAUACCGGAUAGGAGCUCCUGCUGCAUGGUGGGGGUUGGAAAGUUUCGGCGGUUGGGGAUGGACUCGCGGCUUAUCAGCUUGUUGGUGGGGUAGUGGCUUACCAAGGCUUUGACGGGUAGCCGGCCUGAGAGGGUGACCGGCCACAUUGGGACUGAGAUACGGCCCAGACCCCUACGGGAGGCAGCAGUGGGGAAUAUUGCACAAUGGGCGGAAGCCUGAUGCAGCAACGCCGCGUGCGGGAUGACGGCCUUCGGGUUGUAAACCGCUUUCGCCUGUGGCGAAGCGUGAGUGACGGUAAUGGGUAAAGAAGCACCGGCUAACUACGUG
Molecule: ribosomal RNA, 468 nt
Filed under: uncultured bacterium
Lineage: Bacteria
Description: partial 16S ribosomal RNA
Rfam family: Bacterial small subunit ribosomal RNA
Source: RNAcentral